This 274-nucleotide long non-coding RNA is filed under the name Elaeis guineensis (African oil palm). Its description in RNAcentral is "long non-coding RNA (EGUI_LNC070728)". Lineage: Eukaryota; Viridiplantae; Streptophyta; Magnoliopsida; Arecales; Arecaceae. The record is from RNAcentral.
GGCCAAAAAAUUUUUUUCAAGUCAUCUAGGAUUGAAAAUACAUAGAAUGCGAUCUCCUCUUACUAGGAGUGAUCGAUUCUAUGUUGACCUACUCACAACCUCCAUAUACACUCCACUAUAUCCAGAAUAUCCCGUACAUGUCUUAAUGCUAUGCUUGGGAAUGAACCAAAAUAUGGGUUCAUGUGCACAAGAUUUUAUGGUGGUCUCAGGUCUAAUGAUCACUUACAUAACUCCCACUUAGAGAACCAUCUUUGACAUGCAAGUAAGGCUUCCA